CCUGGUGGCUCAAACGUUAAAGCGUCUGCCUGCAAUGCAGGAGACCUGGGUUCGAUCCCUGGGUCAGGA
This 69-nucleotide transfer RNA is filed under the name Bos taurus (domestic cattle). It matches the Rfam family "tRNA". Rfam says of the family: Transfer RNA (tRNA) molecules are approximately 80 nucleotides in length. Their secondary structure includes four short double-helical elements and three loops (D, anti-codon, and T loops). The record is from Rfam by way of RNAcentral. RNAcentral also lists the same sequence under 4 other names. Lineage: Eukaryota; Metazoa; Chordata; Mammalia; Artiodactyla; Bovidae.